This 4182-nucleotide long non-coding RNA is filed under the name Homo sapiens (human). Its description in RNAcentral is "HSALNT0390434". The record is from RNAcentral. Lineage: Eukaryota; Metazoa; Chordata; Mammalia; Primates; Hominidae.
CCUGAUUUUUGUCAAGCGUUUCUUAGAUGUUUUGUUUAAUUCCAGCUUCGUGGCCCCCUAUUUCUUGUCUACCCAUUUUCUAAGGCAGGACCGUGCUCACCACAGCAAAGGGAAAUAACUCCUUGAAAAGCCAAAGGAAUACAAGCCACCACUUCUCAGACCUUUCCCCUAUGAGAUCCAGAUACUACAGGCUAAAGGGAGUUUGAACCUGAAAUGAGCCAGAUAAUUGCCCCAAUUCUCUGUACCUUAUUGAAGAGGUAGUUACAGGCCAAGGGGUCCAAGGGGCCUCACUUUUAUAGACAUUGCUCUAAGUCAAAAGAAUACAUUAUACAUAUACAGCUGAGACACACACCCUCCGUCCUAGGCUGGCUCUCUGUGAACAAAGCAGGUUUCCUCCUUGCCACUCACCCCCACCCCCCAUACCACUUUCCCCCUCCUCUUUUCUCUUCGUCCUCCUCCUUAUUAUUAAUAGUUACUAUUUACUAAAUGCUGCCUGUGCACCUGGUAUUGUGCUAAAUGCUAGACACAUAGUACAUCAUAGUACAUUAAUUAAUCCUUACAUCAACUUUAAGAGUUAAGACACCAGAUUUUACAGAUGCAGAUACUAAGAGUUACUUUUCAAGCAUGAAGCACGUGUGUGUGUGUGUGUAUGUGUGUAUGUGAGAGAGAGAGAGAGAGAUACAGGCAGAUCUGAGUGCUCAAGUGUUAUAAAGAUAGAAAUAAAGAAAAUUGAGAAUGCGGAGAUCUUAAAGUUUUGAAAUAUAGAUGCUUUAAAAGGAUGCAGAUAAUUCCUCCUGCCCUAAAGUGAACAAAGAAGUGAGGCAAUUAACUGGCUAAUUCCAAGACCCAAAUGCUUUCCCUUGAAAUGGGCAGAUAAUGAGGCUGACAGUAUGUUCGCAGUUGAAUUCGCCUGAUGUUGCUCCAUUUUUUUCCCUAACUUUAGCGAAUCCGUUGGGCAAUCACAGUGAGAUGCACAGACGUCACCCCAGACGUGCACAUAUUCACACACACACUCACACACAGGAAUGCUGACACAUACAGACCCGACUUUAUUCUGCCUCUACAGUCUUUUAUGACUCAGCCUCCAGAAUGAAAAUAGGGGUUGGAGCGAAAUAAUGUGUCCGAGGGUGCAGCUGCUCCAGAUGUGCGCUGGGUAAUUAGGCAUCCUCAAGAGCUCCUGCCCGGCUGGGAAAUGCACCUCUUGUGGGACUGUAGACCCCAGCAGGCGCCCCAUCAUAGUCUGCCCCAUAGUAGGUGCCUGUCCUUUGCUGCCUGGUCCCAGCAGCCCGUCCCUCCUCUUGUUGCCUUCCUCCUCCGCAGGUGAUUCUCUGGCUCCUCUGUUUUAGGAAUAACUUUGCAGAAAUGUCUCUCAGAGGGCUCUGCAGUAUAAAAUGGCAUCUCUGCCACAGGGGAAGGGGAAGAGGGACCCUGGUUUCUCCUAUCCUGCUCUUCCUAGGCCCUGGACGUUUCUGAGGGGCUCAUUCCAGAACAAGACCUCUCUUUCCUUGCUCCACAAGAAUUUAACAAAGAGGCCCUAUUUGGGCCAAGAAGGAGAGUGGCCUGACUGGCCCUAACCCCCCUCGUUUGGGGGCUGUGGAGCAGUCCUGCUGCUGGCAGCUUCUCUUAGUUGUUGAGUCUCUUUCACAAAGCAUUCACACUUCACAACUUCCCUUUCCAGUAGGUCUUCAUCUGGGCACCUCGGGGCCUAAGGCACUUGGCCAGGGUCAUGCAGCUAGGGACGUCAUAAGUGAGGAGUUGGCAUUUCUUGGAAGAGGGGGCUGGAUUUGCCCUGGCUUUGAAUCCUGUACUGGCUGUCCCUAUAUCCGCCUCUAGUUUUCUUAUGGGCCUCCCCAAAUUUGAAACCCAAGAAACGCCAAACUUCCAACAUAGAAAACACCAAAAAGCUGCCUUUCUGGAGAUGAAUUUUGCUUACAAGAAAGACACGUUUGGAGGGGGUGAAUGGUCGUGGUAAUUUGGGGUAAAGAACAUUCCACUUGGAAUAGAGGGCUCCUCCUCCAGCCCUGCUUCACCACUUUUAAUAGCUGCUCCGAUCUUGGGCUAAUCACUUAAUUCCUUCGGACCUCAGUGUCUUCUUUUGCAAGCUGGGGGAGGGGUUUAAAGAUGCUGGCGCUGCCCUCUAGCCGGCUGCUGGGGACAUCAAAGGAGAUUCGGGCUGUGGAAGGCUCCCUAGCGUCGGAGAUGGAGUUAGGAGAGGGCGCCAAAGGCGACGUGCCGGCCGCCAGCUCCAGGCCGAGCCCCGAGCGCCUGCAGGAACACGCCCCUUCACCCGGCGCGGGACGCAGAGCUGCGAGAGAAUCUUGUUCAGCGCGGACUCAACGCCAGGGCGCCGCCUAGAGGUUGGUCUCUGUCUCGGCCUCACCCGCCGGGAGACCACAGAGCUGCUUCCCCAGCCGCCCGCCGCCAGAAAUUGGAAAAAAAAAAAAAAAAAAAAAAAAAAUCCAGCUGGGGUCUAGGAACUCGGCUUCUGGCACCUCUGAAUUCUCCGAGACUGUCUCCUCCCUCCCCGCCUGUAAUGAACCCUGUGAAGGGAGACAGGCCAGGAAGUCCCAGAAAUAUUUAUUCUUGUGACUCUCACAAAAUGGAAAAGGGUCUCAAUUUUUGUUUCUUUAAGGAACUUGUGUUCUGCGUCUGUGUCUACACUGCCUCCUCUCACCAACCAAAUUGUCUAGCCCCCCUCCAGUUACGCUAGAACUCUGCUUUAUCUUCAAGGAAGAAAGGGAGUGGGGAGAAGUUACCUCUAAACCCUCCAGCAUGGCCAUCAAUUUUCUGAAUAAUUUGGAGGUCAACAUGCUUUUGGAAAAGUGUUUGGAAAACGUUUGGGGGUGAAAAGAAAUGUUGCCUAACUGGCCUUUACUCACGGAGUGACCAUCAUCUCAGCUAGUUAGUGUAUGAGCGGCACCAGCACCCCGGCCAUGGGUGUCUGUGCUGAGCCUCUGAAAGUUGACUUAUCCUUUGGGGAGCCCUCGGAAAGACACAGCUGGUAUCUAUGGGAAUGGCUUUGGGGUGUCCUUUGGCACCAUACAGAUAAUUUUGUUUUUUUAAUUGGAAUCCAUGGCCUGGGUUCUUGGGAUGGGGGUAGGGGGAAGCCACAAAGCCCCUGGAAAUGUAUGCAAAACAUAUGGGUGUGCAGGUGCAUCAUCCUAAGGCUAUGGCCUCUUCAGUUUUUCCAAAGAGUCUAAGACUAUAAAAGGUUUCCAUCUCCUUUUCUCAGCCAGGGAGCCACAGAGACCCAGGCCAGCAGUAGGCUGGGAGCCAGCACACCGGCCCCCACCAGGUGCCCGGUAGGGGAUGGGUAAUAACACUCUUGAAUGGUCUGGAAACUGCUGGCCCCUCAGUCCUGCCGUCCUCCCAGAGGGAAAUCCUAAUAGAAGAAGUGACAGCCAGUAGCUGCCAUCUCAGUAUUUUGAAUGAAAAUAUAACAUGAUAAAGAGCAAAUGAGGGAGGCUGGAGGGGCCUCCCCAUGCAAAUACUGGAAUAUGAAUGUUGGCCAGAAAUAAGAUACUUCCUGCCCUCCAGCUGUUAAAGAGCUCCCCAAUUCCUCCCUUUUGGUGCUAGGAAGGGGCCAGAGGGCACUGCCCCCAGACCACCACCCACCUCUGGAGAGCUGGGGCCGAGUGGGACUGCCUGCAGCAGAGUUAACCCUUCAGAAAAUUCAAAACCUAUACUGCCUAGUAUUUUCCCUGCCCGUUUAUUUUUUAAUCAGAUUUUUAAAAUAUCCAGCAGCACUUUGGUGCCUUUUCUUGGGGUUGGGGAGUGGGGUUAUCUAUGUGUGUAUCUAUGGGAAGGUGGGUGCCUUCAGUGCACUAAACCCCCUCUUGGGCCUGCAGCUGGACCUCACUCCUGUACCUGAACACUCUGCCUGAGCCUGAGCUAAUCUUAGCCAUCCAUUGUGUCUCAAAACUGUUUUGGAGGUGAAUAACUGUGAGGCAGGAUGGAGAACCUUUUGCUCUCCCAUCCAGAAGGGCACCUAACCAGGCCCCUGGAGCAGACAAAAGGAGCAGGAAGUCAAUCACUUCGAUCCCAGUUCUCUGAAGCCCAAGAAGAAAACGGAUUUUCCUUCGUUUUGGUUCGGAGGCCUAGUAGAGAAUUUGGAUUCCACCAAGUUCUCUUUUUUCAAAAAAAGUAAACGGUCCAGAGCAGACAAAAACUGUGGAAACUUGA